UCGAGGGUCGUCUAAUGGUAGGACGUUAGGCUCUGGACCUGAAAAUCGGGGUUCGAAUCCCUGCCCUCGAGCCA
RNAcentral lists this transfer RNA (74 nucleotides) under Candidatus Nealsonbacteria bacterium CG03_land_8_20_14_0_80_36_12. RNAcentral describes it as "tRNA-Gln". It matches the Rfam family "tRNA". Rfam says of the family: Transfer RNA (tRNA) molecules are approximately 80 nucleotides in length. Their secondary structure includes four short double-helical elements and three loops (D, anti-codon, and T loops). The record is from RNAcentral. Lineage: Bacteria; Candidatus Nealsoniibacteriota.